CGAUCCGAUAGGUGAGGCUACUACAGGGAUACGGACUGCUGCCGCGAAACAGUGGAGACACUGUCAGAUGGUUUGAACAGGCUGCAUCGAAACACAAGGUGCAAUCUAACGCAGUUUCACGCCGAAUAUUUUUCGGCACGCCCUGCAAAGUCAAAGCUCAGGCGGUGGC
RNAcentral lists this small RNA (169 nucleotides) under human gut metagenome. RNAcentral's name for it is "M-box riboswitch (ykoK leader)". It matches the Rfam family "M-box riboswitch aptamer (ykoK leader)", at positions 10 to 160 of the family's 169-position model. From Rfam's summary of the family: M-box riboswitch, also know as ykoK leader is described as a metaloregulatory RNA that sense divalent metals and function as a genetic control element of genes related to divalent metal transport in bacteria. It was first reported upstream of the B.subtilis ykoK gene and genes with related functions in other bacteria. Phylogenetic analysis of the distribution of M-box RNAs across bacterial genomes revealed that M-box riboswitches are most often employed for the regulation of Mg2+ transporter genes The record is from RNAcentral.